GUUCCCAACAUCUGAGAGAGACACCUUUUGUAACAACACUAAGAGAAGUGCCACCACCUCGUUGGUGUCAGCUUAUCUGAAGAGACCUCUUGACCCGAAGUCCAGCAGAAAUUGCCAACAUAUGUUCAGAUUGUUUUCGUACAAGCAAAGAAGGAAUGGAAUGGUACAAGAUUGGAAACUGCAUUUAUUUUAACUUGUGGAUGAGCCUAAGAAAGUAUGAAGAUACAGGAGCAAGAAAGAAAAGGAACAGAAAGCUAAUCAGGAAAUAACUUCCCGAAGAGGUAAACUACCUAAAGCAUAAGGAGAUGAAGAAGCUGCCCAAAGUCUAACGUCACCAGAUAUGCUUGCUGGAUCUCUGGUCUGUCAUCACUCAUCUGUAAUCUGACCUACUGUUGUAAUUUUAAUGACUUGGGUUUUUUUAUCAGGCAUCUUUCCACAUUCUGAUUUCCAAAUUGUCAUUUUUAAGAGUGAACCAGAGAUAUUUACUUAUUGCUACUUUUGAAAACAUCAGAGGGCUAAAAACCAACGUGUUUCUGUUUCACAAAACAUUUUCUUCAGCUUGACUUUUAUUAUUUUCCCUGAGUUUCCUUGGACUAGAAAACAGACGCCAUAAAGGAGUAAAAUGACAUCAAAUGAAUUUUAAAGAACAUCAGAAGAUGAGGUGCUAUAUCAAAAUGCAUAUAAACCUGAAAUAUUUUCCAUUUGUUCUACUGAACUCCUGACAAUCAUGUGAUAGGAGAGUUUAAUUUGUAAAAGUUUAGGUGUCUUUAGAAGACUUUACACCAACGGCUAAAGGUAGAGAGAAGUUCAAAGAUUAAAUAACAGUAAUAACUCAUGGGAAAGGGGAAAAAAAGAAUGUUUACAUUUAUACAUCAUAUCUGAAAGGAAAAUAUUCUAGAAGAAAACAAACUUGGCUUCUAGGAAAUUAACUGAAGAUAUUGCACAGUCAGGUUAGAGGUUUCUGGCAGAAAUUUCACUUGUGGAACUUGCAGAAAUGAGCAGGGGACUCUGUCCAGCAGAAAGUAUAAAAGUAUCCUAGACUAAAAAUGUAACUGCACCUACUGGGGCUGAAGUCAGACCUGGAUGAAUCAUUGCCAUCAUGCAAAGAAUAAAUGGAAUGGGUACAAAACUAAUUAGCCCUGCCCUGAGGUCUGAACACCUGCCAAACAUACAGUCCUCCUUCAUCACUCAGUACUGAAUUUUCUCAUGCUUCUGCAUAUGCGAUACGGAUUAUUUG
Molecule: long non-coding RNA, 1237 nt
Organism: Myiozetetes cayanensis
Lineage: Eukaryota; Metazoa; Chordata; Aves; Passeriformes; Tyrannidae
Exons: 4
Source: RefSeq, a predicted model, not a curated record